GCUAGAUUCUUUUGUAUUUUAUACUAUUAUUAAUAUUAUUACUUUAUUAAUUUAAGUAAAUUUAAUGAAAUAAUUAUUUACUCAAUCUGUUAAGGUAUUUAAUUAAAAUAAAGUAUAAAAAUUUAUAGUACCUUUUGUAUCAGGGUUAAUUAAUUAUUUUAAGUAAGUUUAUUUUCCCGAAUUAAGAAUUUCAAUUAAAAUAUUUUUGUGUUUAUUUCAUAACUCUAUAUAAUAUUUUUAUAGUAAUUAUAUGUUAUUCAUUUUUUAUAUAUCUGGUUAUUAAGGAUUUAAAUUUAAUUUAGCAUUUACAGUUUAUUUUUAAUUAAUUAGGGUAAUUGUGAUUUUAUUAGGGAUAAGCUUAAUAAAUAAUUACAAUCUAUAAUUAUAUUUUUUAAUUAUUUUCUUUAAAAUUUUGUUUUAAGUUUUUAAUAAAUUAUUAUUUAUAUAUAUUAUUUUAUUAGAUUUAUUUUUUUACUUAAUUUUAUUUAAAAAUAAAUUAUAUUAUUAAUAAUGAUUGAAUUAGUAUAAUUUAUAAUUAAAACUAUAAUGAACUCGACAAAUAUUAAUUCCAACUGUUUAUCAAAAACAUUUCUUUUUGAUUAUAUAAAAAGUAUCUUCUGCCCUAUGAAUUAAAUUAAAUGGCUGCAGUAUAUUGACUGUACAAAGGUAGCAUAAUAAUUAGUUUUUUAAUUGAAAGCUUGUAUGAAUGGAUGUAUGAGAAUUAUUUUAUAUUUAUUUUAAAAUUAAAAUUUUAAUUUUAAGUUAAAAUGCUUAAAUUUUAUCUUGGGACGAUAAGACCCUAUAGAACUUUAUUUAAUUUUAAUUAUAACUUUUUAUAAUAAAUUUUUAAUUAAAUUUAUUUUUUGCUGGGGUGGUAGUUAAAUUUUAACUUUAACUUAAAAUAUCAAUAUAUAUAUGUAUAUUAUUAUCCUUUUAGGAAUUAAGAUUAAGUUACCUUAGGGAUAACAGCGUAAUUUUAAUGGGGAGUUCAUAUCUAUAUUUAUUUUUGCGACCUCGAUGUUGAAUUAAGAAAAAUUAAAGAAGCAGAAUUCUUUAUGUUAAGUCUGUUCGACUUUUAGUUUCUUACAUGAUUUGAGUUCAAACCGGCGUGAGCCAGGUUGGUUUCUAUCUAAGAUAAUUAAAUGAUUAUUUAGUACGAAAGGACCAUUAAUCUUACUAUUAAAGUAUUAUUUAACAAU
Molecule: ribosomal RNA, 1199 nt
Filed under: Scaphoideus maai
Lineage: Eukaryota; Metazoa; Arthropoda; Insecta; Hemiptera; Cicadellidae
Description: 16S ribosomal RNA
Source: RNAcentral